This 26-nucleotide non-coding RNA is filed under the name Rattus norvegicus (Norway rat). The record is from RNAcentral. Lineage: Eukaryota; Metazoa; Chordata; Mammalia; Rodentia; Muridae.
UAUUAUUUCUCCCAAUCUUGUCACCC